Non-coding RNA from Dallia pectoralis (Alaska blackfish), 73 nucleotides. NCBI's taxonomy places the organism in Eukaryota, Metazoa, Chordata, Actinopteri, Esociformes, Umbridae. The record is from the annotation of a GenBank genome assembly.
GGCGACCAGGCUUAGUGGUAAGAGUGGAUGCUUCGUAUGUAUGAUGUCCUGGGUUCAAUCCCCAGCUUCUCCU